RNAcentral lists this ribosomal RNA (513 nucleotides) under uncultured marine eukaryote. RNAcentral's name for it is "SSU rRNA". It matches the Rfam family "Eukaryotic small subunit ribosomal RNA", at positions 613 to 1129 of the family's 1831-position model. The record is from RNAcentral.
UUGCGGUUAAAAAGCUCGUAGUUAGAUUUCUGUCGGUGAGUGGUGCUCCGCCCCUUGUGGUGAGUAGUCGUCAUGUUGCCGGCAUCUUCUUGGGGAGUGUGUCUGCACUUCACUGUGUGGCGCACAAGCCAGGACAUUUACUUUGAGGAAAUGAGAGUGUUUCAAGCAGGCGCACGCCGUGAAUACGUUAGCAUGGAAUAAUAGCAUCGGACCUCGCUCCAAAGCCGUUGGUUUCUUGGGUCGAGGUAAAGGUGAAUAGGGAUUGUUGGGGGCAUUCGUAUUUAACUGUCAGAGGUGAAAUUCUUGGAUUUGUUGAAGACGGACUACUGCGAAAGCAUCUGCCAAAGAUAUUCUCAUUGACCAAGAACGAAAGUUAGGUGAUCGAAGACGAUCAGAUACCGUCCUAGUCUUAACCAUAAACUAUGCCGACUGGAGAUAGGGGGUCGUUAAAUUGGUGACGCCUUCUGCAUCUUGAGAGAAAUCAAAGUCUUUGGGUUCCGGGGGGAGUAUGGU